AACCACUUCGGUGGUCCUCCGUAAAAAUUGGAACGAUACAGAGAAGAUUAGCAUGGCCCCUGCGCAAGGAUGACACGCAUAAAUCGAGAAGUAUCGCACUUUUUG
This 105-nucleotide small nuclear RNA is filed under the name Phytophthora infestans T30-4. Lineage: Eukaryota; Oomycota; Peronosporomycetes; Peronosporales; Peronosporaceae. The record is from RNAcentral.